GACGGGGCGGAUUCUUUCUAACUUGUGCAACGUUGUUCCAGGAGGUGUGGUGUGUUUCUUCCCUUCCUAUGACUAUGAAAAACAGGUAUACUUGCACUGGGAAAAGACCGGAUUGCUUGCCCGGCUGGCGACUAAGAAAAAGAUAUUUCAGGAACCCAAGAAGGCUAACCAGGUGGAGCAGGUCUUGGCAGAAUACGCCAAGUGUAUCAAGCGCUGCAACCUAACAGAUGGACCCAUGACAGGAG
Notechis scutatus (mainland tiger snake) is the source of this 245-nucleotide non-coding RNA. Lineage: Eukaryota; Metazoa; Chordata; Lepidosauria; Squamata; Elapidae. The record is from RefSeq and is a predicted model, not a curated record.